Molecule: ribosomal RNA, 406 nt
Filed under: uncultured bacterium
Lineage: Bacteria
Description: partial 16S ribosomal RNA
Rfam family: Bacterial small subunit ribosomal RNA
Source: RNAcentral
AUUGAACGCUGGCGGCAGGCCUAACUCAUGCAAGUCGAGCGAGCGGCGGACGGGUGAGUAAUGUCUGGGAAACUGCCUGAUGGAGGGGGAUAACUACUGGACACGGUAGCUAAUACCGCAUACCAUCAGAUGUGCCCAGAUGGGCUGAGCUAGUAGGUGGGGUAACGGCUCACCUAGGCGACGAUCCCUAGCUGGUCUGAGAGGCUGACCAGCCACACUGGAACUGAGACACGGUCCAGACUCCUACGGGAGGCAGCAGGGGGGAAGAUUGCACGAUGGGCGCAAGCCGGAUACAGCCAUGCCGCGUGUGUGAAGAAGGCCUUCGGGGUGUAAAGCACUUUCAGCGGGGAGGCGUUACCCGGAGAAGAAGCACCGGCUAACUCCGUGCCAGCAGCCGCGGUAAUUC